CGGGGGCCACGUGACCGGCGGCCCGCGCGCGGGUGCGCGUGCGCACGCCGCCGCCGCUCGGGCCGGGGCCUGGGCGUCCCGCGGCUGGGGCAGCAACCUCAGAUUUAAUCUCAGGACAGAACUGGACCAGACAUUCCAAGACCCUGGUGAUACAACAGGUGAUUCAUUUGCUAACAGGAAAUAACACUCAACACUGUUCACAAACUCAGUUGAAGCUGAAGCUGAAAAACGACUACCGAGGGAAGAACGGACAAAGAUGUCAGAAUCAGAAUCAAAGGGUGGCAGCCGGCAAGUAACAUGUUAACAUGUUAACAUGAAUUUCACUGAAUGGGUUAAGGCCAGAUUGACUAACUUACCUACUACCAAAAAAUCAGCACCAAGCUUUACCGUCACAUUUGUUAAUAAAGGCAAUCAAUAAAAAGAACUUUUGGGGCUGGAGUGAUAGCACAGCGGGUAGGGCGCUUGCCUUGCACGCAGCCGACCCGGGUUCGAUUCCCAGCAUCCCAUAUGGUCCCCUGAGUACUGCCAGGGGUAAUUCCUGAGUGCAGAGCCAGGAGUGACCCCUGUGCAUUGCCGGGUGUGACCCAAAAAGCAAAAAAAAAAAAAAAAAGAACUUUUUCAUUCCAACACACUGUAAUUUUAUUCCCAGUUCAGGUGGGCUGGGGAAAUCACUUAUGCUUGGUAUUUGCGACUGUCAGCAUAGUGUCCAAUAAAUAAAAAGCAACUGUGGCUGGCUGACUAGGUUGAAGCAAGACGGUCUGCCUCACUAUUUCACUGUUAAUAUAAACUCAAUUGCUACUUCUUGCAAAAUUGGACUUUUUUUUUUUUUAAUUCUGUGUUUUUAUAAAUAUAAGAAGAGCCCUGAAGUCAAAUCAGAGGAUUCCACUUUUUGUCCAUUUGAAAGAAUCUAUUCCCCGCCCCCUCCUCUCCCUCCCUCCCAUUUGAAAGAAUCUAAAUGUUUCAAAAUAAGAUACAACCAUGUAACUUGUACUUGUUUUUGUUUCUAGUUCCUUACAACUUAUUAUGAGCAAAUGUUUUAAAAUAUUACUUAAACACAGUAUAAUAUUUUAACUGUAGAUUUGUGGGGUUUUUUUUGGGUGCUACGGAUCCUAUCCAGAGCUUCACACAUGCCAAGUGCUCUACCACUAAGCAAUAGCCUUGAUCUGUAACUGCAGACUUUCAGAAGCAGGUUUACUACAUAACUAAUACUGGCCAAACCGAAAUCGGAUGCAUAAUAUCUAUGUUAUGUUUGUAAUCAUACGCUGCUUAAACGUUUCAUUCAAGGACCACGACAUCCAUGACAAGUGACCGUCAGCACAGCUGUGCAGGCUCUAUUUGGGAAAUCAUGCUUGAUGAAAUCAUAAUAGAUCUAAUAAAGUUUAUUCUUGAUGUCAUGUAACAGUGUAACACAUUUUGCUUUUCCUUUCAUUCAUCAAAGAGUGUUUCAAAUCUAUAGUACUUGUAGGGUAGCUUUUAGGAAAAAAAUUCUGUUUCUCACCAAAAAUGUUACCUGGCAUUUUCAAAUGUAACACCUGUCAGAGAGGUGGCUUUCCCUCUGAGACCAGGGCACUCCUGACAGAACUGACACACGGGCCGGGAGAGUGGGACACUAACAACGUGACUGCUGCUCUCCCCUCGUCAAGCGGGCAGUCGACCAAGUUACACCAGAAGAUAAAGACAAUCCUCUUAAAUAUAAUGUUGCAAAAAUGUCAUCAGAGGACACAUGAUCCUUAUCUUUUAUCAUAAAAUUACUAUGUAGAAAUAGUAACUUUGCUUUAUGUUAGCAAUCUGAAGGAAUUUAACACAAAACCAAAUGGGGGCUCUGGGGCAUGGCUAAGUGGCAAAAGGCACCUGCUUUGCACGAAUUCGAUGGUGUCACCCAGUGUUCCGAGCAGCCCUGUCCUGGCAGCAGCCCUGUCCCUGGGACCCCAGCACCCCAACAGCACAGAUGUAUGCACAGCCUGGUGUGAGCAUACUGCUGCCAGUCGGGCCCACAAGCACGUGUGAGCACCACAAGAAAGGGAAGAUCGCUCAGGUUUCCAAGCACCACAACUGCAAGUGUGCAGCUCCUGGUGAGCACAGUGUGCGAGCAUUGCAACCAGGUGACCUGCAACCAUCAGAAUAGCGGCAAAAGGAAGGGCAGGAAGAGGAAUCUCUCUUCAGGGAGCUGCCUGAGCUGUGUUCAGACAAGGGCCUGGACAGGGCUGAGGGUGCCACUGCAAACAAUACUUGGCCUGGCUGGAGCCUGACAGUGGGACUCGGGCCAGCAAUGCAGCGCUGACCAGCCUGGCAGUACGAGAGGCCAACAGGGUGGCACCCAGCAUGACUGGGGAGACAGAGGGAGACAUCUGGAACACAGCCCUUCUAGACUGCAGUUACCCCGAAUAGCCCCAGUCUGCUUUACUGCUACUGCAGUGAGAGUACUGUGGAACCAGCUUGGGACACCCGCCUGCGAGGCAUGGGCCCCACCCCUCUAACUAAAUCCUUAGUUAACACAGAAAAACAAGAAAAGAAAAGAUGCUACCACU
This is a long non-coding RNA of Sorex araneus (European shrew), 2528 nucleotides long. RefSeq lists it as uncharacterized. Lineage: Eukaryota; Metazoa; Chordata; Mammalia; Eulipotyphla; Soricidae. The record is from RefSeq and is a predicted model, not a curated record. The transcript has 4 exons.